Molecule: ribosomal RNA, 231 nt
Filed under: uncultured bacterium
Lineage: Bacteria
Description: partial 16S ribosomal RNA
Rfam family: Bacterial small subunit ribosomal RNA
Source: RNAcentral
UACGUAGGGUGCAAGCGUUAAUCGGAAUUACUGGGCGUAAAGCGUGCGCAGGCGGUUUUGUAAGUUUGUCGUGAAAUCCCCGGGCUCAACCUGGGAAUGGCGAUGAAGACUGCAAGGCUAGAAUCUGGCAGAGGGGGGUAGAAUUCCACGUGUAGCAGUGAAAUGCGUAGAGAUGUGGAGGAACACCGAUGGCGAAGGCAGCCCCCUGGGUCAAGAUUGACGCUCAUGCAC